RNAcentral lists this ribosomal RNA (1422 nucleotides) under Triticum aestivum (bread wheat). Its description in RNAcentral is "partial small subunit ribosomal RNA". The record is from RNAcentral. Lineage: Eukaryota; Viridiplantae; Streptophyta; Magnoliopsida; Poales; Poaceae.
AUGCAUCUUAUCCAUAUUUUGUUAAUUUCGGAUAUUAAUGAAUGCCUUGAACCGGGCAAUUGUAAAGGGACCUGCCAUAAUACCAACGGAAGCUUUAGCUGUACAGAAUGUCCUCACAAGACUGAGUAUGAUCCAUUAAAAAUGCAGUGCACUAAGAGACAACAGUCUCUGCUCUUAUGUGUAAUUAUUGGGCUGCCAUGUGGUUUUGGUGUUCUACUUUUGAGCUUCAGUGUAGUGCUUCUCACUCGUAGAUGGAAAAUAAAUGUUCAAAAGCGACUAUGCAAGAACUAUUUCUGGAAGAACCAAGGUUUUCUCCUAGAAAGAUUGGUAUCAUCUGAUAAAAGUGCAAACGAGAAUACAAAGAUUUUCUCGUUAGAAGAGCUGGAGAAGGCAACCAAUAACUCUGAUCCUACACGUAUCAUUGGCCGUGGGGGUCAUGGCAUGGUUUACAAAGGCAUAUUAUCCGAUCAGCGUGUUGUUGCAAUAAAAAAGUCUAAGUUCAUUGAGGAGUGUGAGAUCAGUCAGUUCAUUAAUGAGGUCGCAGUCCUCUCUGAGAUAAAUCACAGAAAUAUUGUGAAGCAAUUUGUAUGUUGUCUCAAAACCGAGGUUGCACUGCUGGUUUAUGAUUAUGUAUCCAGUGGCUCACUGUCUGAAGUUCUUCAUGCAGAUGUAAGUAAUGAUCUUUCUUUGUCUUGGGGUGAUUACUUAAGGAUUACCCUGUAAACAGCAGGUGCUCUGUCUUAUCUCCACUCUUCAGCUUCAAUAUCAAUCUUCCAUCGUGACGUGAAGUGCUCCAAUAUACUCUUGGAUGGGAACUACACAGCUAAAGUUUCCGAUUUUGGCGCAUCCAGAUUGGUUCCGAUCAAUCAAACACACAUUGUCAUGAAUGUGCAAGGUACAUUUGGGUACUUAGAUCCAGAGUAUUUCCAUACCAGGCAGUUGAACGGGAAGAGCGACAUGUACAGUUUUGGUAUGGUACUAGUGGAGUUGCUUCUCAGAAAGAAGCCUGUUUUUACAAGUGAAUCAGGCACAAUUAAGAAUUUGUCAAAUUAUUUUCUCCAGGAGUUCAAUGAGGGGAGAAUCACAGGUAUUGUUAAUUCUCAGGUCCUGGAGGAGGCAACCGAGGAAGAGAUCAACGGUGUCGCCUCUCUUGCAGAGCGAUGCUUAAGACUGUGUGGUGAAGAAAGACCCACCAUGAAACAAGUGGAGACCGAACUGCAGACCCUACGAGCAAAGUUGGUGAACUCAUAUCAAGCAAACCUUAGAAAUGAAGAGCAAAUACAACCAAGUUGGUUAACUCGAAGAUCUGGAGCUGAUCAUCAAUCUUCUGUGACGAUAUUGGACGUCAAAGCCGACGUGCAAUCCGGAGGCUGUUACAGCUUGGAGGUAGAGUUCAUGGCAUCUGCUAGCCUUCCACGCUAG